RNAcentral lists this ribosomal RNA (253 nucleotides) under uncultured prokaryote. RNAcentral's name for it is "partial 16S ribosomal RNA". It matches the Rfam family "Bacterial small subunit ribosomal RNA", at positions 524 to 776 of the family's 1533-position model. The record is from RNAcentral.
UACGUAGGGGGCAAGCGUUGUCCGGAAUCAUUGGGCGUAAAGAGCGUGUAGGCGGCCCGGUCAGUCCGCCGUGAAAGUCCAGAGCUCAACCCUGGAAUGCCGGUGGAUACUGCCGGGCUGGAGUCCGGAAGAGGCGAGUGGAAUUCCCGGUGUAGCGGUGAAAUGCGCAGAUAUCGGGAAGAACACCCGUGGCGAAGGCGGCUCCCUGGGACGGUACUGACGCUGAGACGCGAAAGCGUGGGGAGCGAACAGG